UUAUUUUUGGCAUUAUUAAGGUAUAGUUGUUCUUCCUUGGCACAAGGGACACUUCACUUUACAUCAUCUGCUCCACCAAAAUCGUCACUAGGCCUGUUUUUUUCUCAUUUUGGUUGCUUUGCACCGCCUGAUCCAGUUCUGUGUGUAAGUGCUUCUCGUCGUCCAUAAUCGUACAUUAACUUUGUGAUUUGACAUGAUCAGUGAGUUUUCGUUAUUUUCUAUGUAUAUAGUCUUUGUGUUUAGAAGGGGAGUGUUGGAGCAACGAUAAAGUAAUCUCCGUGCGUGGAAUCAAUGAUGUUUGCAUUAGGGUAGGCUGCCUAUAUCACACCCUCUUGGGAUGCAACCCUUUCUCGGACCUAUGUGAUCUUCAUGCACUGGAUUGCCCUUUAUAGUCUUGGUGUUUGAUAUUGAUACUUCAUAUUGCUUAUGAAUAAUAUGGAAUUAUUGAGGGAAUGAAUUAUUUUGCCUUAGACCCAAAACGUUUGAAGCACAGAAAGCGGAUUCAACAGGCUAAAGAGUGAGCCUGAAGCAAAAAAGAGAGCAUUCAAUCUAAAACCUUAAGUCAAUAAUGUGACCCUUUGAAUUUCUUAGACCACUAAGGGACGCGUAUUCUCACGGUACUUAGAAUUGAAUUAGGGCUACUUGCAGUAAUUAGUGUGAACAUGAUCUUGAUUAUAUGUUUAGGGCUUCCUAGCUAACUUUUGUUCUUUAAUUGUUCUCCAAUUAUAUAUUUUUAAAUUUGUCUUUCUGGUAUAAUGCAGCUUUUUGUUGAACGAUCGAGCUCUUUAGUUCUUGCAGGGAGCUUCUUUUAUCUUGUAAAAGUUCCAGCGGAGCAUAUUUCGCAGCUUAGGAAAUGGAAGGUCACCAUUUGUCAAGUCCAAGAACUAGUGCAACUGAGGUCACAAUAGUGUUUGAGAAAAUGGAUUGUUGCAUUACAUCACUUCACAAAGCAGUUUGGUCUUUGGUGUGAGGUAUUUGCCUACGCAAUAUGACUUGUUAGUGACAGUCUUAAAUGUUUAUGCUGCUUUUGCUCAACUUUCUGUUUCAUUACCUCUUUUUAGUGUAAUUAUUGCAGCUGUGUUGUGGAAUAGAGUUUAAUCCAAUCAUAUACAUAUGUUAGACUCCUGAGUCCAAUGGGGUGGAUCUAAUAGCAGGAUGCGAAGAUGGCGGGGGCCGGGGUUAACUAAAUAACAGUUGGUGCUGAACUACUAUACAUCCGAUCUGAUCCAUUCUUGCCGUGCCAAACUACUUGCAACAGGGAAAUUCUCAGGCUUUCAUAAUUAAGGAUGAUCUCCUGUCCGUCUUUUCUUUUCCUGAAUUCACUUUUCAGAAUAUGAAUAUCAUUUGAGUAUGCCAUAUUAAGUUUAAGGAGAAUGCUUGUCAUAGAGUGAUAUUUUGAAAUAGUUCAUAAGACUGAAUCAAGUAUUUGAAGAGUAAUACCUACAUUGAUAUGAUUUGUCAAUUUACUUGACAAGUUACCAUGCAUUUUUUUCUCUUUUUGGCAUUGUAGGUCCAAGAUUUGAGAUAGGCGUUAUGCCUUUUGCUGUUCCUCGUUCUGCUUCUUAUGUAAGAACGGAGUAUGAUAUAGCAAUAUUUUAGUUCCACUUUGCUGCAUGUGUUCUUCCAUCAACAGGUUUUAUAAAUACAAGACUCUAGUGUCGCUCAAAUUCCAUUCACUGUGUACCUCCCACCUUAUUGUACAUUACGAGUCUAGCUUCCAUAGUUUACUUUGGUUCAAACUCCACGCGAAAUAUGUUCUAUUUGUCUUGCUUUGCGUAGCGCCAACUCAAAUAGCAGCUUGCUGAAUAAUUGACUUGUACUGAUCAUAGUUGAUCCAGAUAGUCUUUUUAUCAGGUAAACGGUGUCCAUCUAUUGUUCGUUUCUGCUAUCCAAGAUGCUUAUGUAAUAACACCCCUUGUAGCACCCAUAAGAGACCCAUAGGCAGAGUUUUGCAGGCUGCUGGAAUCAAAAUGAAGGUUGAAGGACCAUGCGAUUCAUUAAGGGGCAAUAGCGGCUUCCGGACCAAGCAACAGAUGGACGGGCCAGGCCAGGCCUGAAUAUAGACAGGACCAGACUCUUCUUUGUUUGAGCGACAACCAGUUAUGCAGACCGAAGAUCUCACUUGUCAUGGACAAGUACACAGAUAUCCUCGUGGGACCUCCAAUCAAUAAGGUAAAAAAAGUAGUUAUGGCUUGUGCUGUAAUGCACAAAAGCCCUUCAUCCCACCAAAACGUAAACAACCUAACGUGCUCGCUUGUGACACAUAGGCUUGCAGUGUUUCCAUGUCUAUGAGUAGGGAAUGGUGAAUGCAGGAAAAUAAUCCUUCAGGUUGAGUGUAUGUUGCUACCAAACUUUCUUAUUCAAACAAUUGCUACUAGCUAGUGUUGACUUUCCUCUGUAGUAAAAUUGGAAACUGUACUGCAACUUGGAGCUAAGCAUUAUAAUUGAAUUUAAAGUGACUUCCAC
This 2466-nucleotide long non-coding RNA is filed under the name Nicotiana tabacum (common tobacco). RNAcentral's name for it is "long non-coding RNA (NTAB_LNC006671)". Lineage: Eukaryota; Viridiplantae; Streptophyta; Magnoliopsida; Solanales; Solanaceae. The record is from RNAcentral.